RNAcentral lists this ribosomal RNA (824 nucleotides) under uncultured bacterium. RNAcentral describes it as "bacterial SSU rRNA". It matches the Rfam family "Bacterial small subunit ribosomal RNA", at positions 21 to 836 of the family's 1533-position model. The record is from RNAcentral.
GGCUCAGGAUGAACGCUAGGCGGGAGGCUUAACACAUGCAAGUCGAGGGGCAGCACGAGGUAGCAAUACUUUGGUGGCGACCGGCGCACGGGUGAGUAACGCGUAUGCAACCUACCCUGUACAGGGGGAUAGCCCGGAGAAAUCCGGAUUAAUACCCCAUAAUUAUAUUUGGAGGCAUCUUCAGAUAUUUAAAGCUUCGGCGGUACGGGAUGGGCAUGCGUGACAUUAGCUAGUUGGUAAGGUAACGGCUUACCAAGGCUACGAUGUCUAGGGGUCCUGAGAGGGUGAUCCCCCACACUGGUACUGAGACACGGACCAGACUCCUACGGGAGGCAGCAGUGAGGAAUAUUGGUCAAUGGGCGUAAGCCUGAACCAGCCAUCCCGCGUGAAGGAAGAAGGCGCUAUGCGUCGUAAACUUCUUUUCCGGAGGAAUAAAAUUUCGUACGUGUACGGAACUGAAGGUACUYCSGGGAAUAAGCAUCGGCUAACUCCGUGCCAGCAGCCGCGGUAAUACGGAGGAUGCAAGCGUUAUCCGGAUUUAUUGGGUUUAAAGGGUGCGUAGGCGGAUUAAUAAGUCAGUGGUGAAAACCUGCAGCUUAACUGUAGAACUGCCAUUGAUACUGUUAUUCUUGAGUACGGUCAAGGUAGGCGGAAUGUGUAAUGUAGCGGUGAAAUGCUUAGAUAUUACACAGAACACCGAUUGCGAAGGCAGCUUACUGGACCAUUACUGACGCUGAGGCACGAAAGCGUGGGGAGCGAACAGGAUUAGAUACCCUGGUAGUCCACGCCGUAAACGAUGAUCACUCGCUGUUGGCGAUACACAG